CCUACGGGUGGCAGCAGUGGGGAAUAUUGGGCAAUGGGCGCAAGCCUGACCCAGCAACGCCGCGUGAAGGAAGAAGGCUUUCGGGUUGUAAACUUCUUUUCUGAGGGACGAAGAAAGUGACGGUACCUCAGGAAUAAGCCACGGCUAACUACGUGCCAGCAGCCGCGGUAAUACGUAGGUGGCAAGCGGUAUCCGGAUGUAUUGGGUGUAAAGGGCGUGUAGGCGGGAAAGGAAGUCAGAUGUGAAAACUCAGGGCUCAACCCUGAGCCUGCAUUUGAAACUGUUUGUCUCGAGUGCUGGAGAGGCAAUCGGAAUGCCGGGUGUAGCGGUGAAAUGCGUAGAUAUACGGAGGAACACCAGUGGCGAAGGCGGAUUGCUGGACAGUAACUGACGCUGAGGCGCGAAAGUGUGGGGAGCAAACAGGAUUAGAUACCCGGGUAGUC
Molecule: ribosomal RNA, 443 nt
Filed under: uncultured bacterium
Lineage: Bacteria
Description: partial 16S ribosomal RNA
Rfam family: Bacterial small subunit ribosomal RNA
Source: RNAcentral